UCAAGCUGAGGCAAGCUGCUGCAGGAGCCUGAUGGAUCAGGGGGACCCUGACUACCUGAACUUGGACAGUGCCCCAAAGCCCUUCUUCCCUUGCAGGGAAAAACACAGAGCACCAGGAUACUGAAGGAGCAGACCCACCUACUGUAGGCAAAGAGAAACAAUCCAGUGAACUGAUGGAAGAACUUCUGGAUAAAAUUAAUCAGCAGACAGAGUUCCAGAAUGACCAAAUAUUCUACCAGCUGGUCUUCAGCAUGGGAUGAAGUAAGGAAGAACUAUUCCAAAACUCUCAACAUACUGCAAUGUUCCAACUAGAAUGGAUUUUUCAUCAGAGACUUCUGUAAUUUUCUGGAAACAGCUUUCUAGAAGCGAACACCACCAUCCUUCUUGAAUAAAAAAAGUCAGCAAGGGGCAUCAUGCCAUAGAACCGGGUGAUAAUGGACCCUUUCAGUACAGCUCUGAUGCAACACUUCAUUCAUUUCUGAGCACCUUGUUACCAUGCCAUGAAAGACGUCUGACAGGAAGCCCAAGAGAAAGCUACCAUCUGCUGGGGCUUCUGAUUUUCUCAACAGAGCCCCUGCCCUCUAUAGCCACGUAUCUGUGAGAAAUCAGGGUUGGACAAAGCCUCCCUUUGGCUUUCCACGGCAGCGUCAGGAAAUGAAACCAUUGAAGAUGAGACAGAGAGAGAGAGAGAAUCAGUAGUCUGGCUAAUACCUAGAAGCACAUGAUGCCUGGCACCAAAGGACAUGCUGAGGAGCGCACGUAUCAGCACAAAAACCCUGGGUAAUUUAAUAACUGGCCCAGAAUUUGCUGACUGCUUGUUAAUUACUUGAACAAUCCCAAACUGUCUGACCAAAAACCUACCCGAUGACUCCUCAGCUGUUAGUCCCAGAUGACUAAUAGCAACAGUACUUGUAAUAGUUCCAGGAAUGUAUUUGUACUGCCUUUGCUUUUCCACAACUCUAGCCAAGCUUCUACACACCAAGAACCCUGAAACAUAAAGCUAAAACCUCUCCCUUCUGAUACACUCAUAAACAACUUUGGCUGUUGACUUUAAAUGCAGCAUCCCCUGAAAUACUCCAGAAGAGGUACUCUUAACAGAAGGAGACUAUGAUAGAAGUGUUCUUAACCUAUUGAAGAAAUAUGGCUUCUCAGUUGUUAUUAUUAAAGCAGGUAAGGUGGAAAGGGAGAGGUACAAAACCACAACCUCUGUGAGGAAGAUCUUACAGGCAAUAUUCUGAAAAUCCAGCAAUGAGAGAAAUUAUAGGUUUCUCUUUUCGGCCCCACAUACCUAUGUCAGUAAUUGCUUAAUGAUAUGGAUCGAUUUCAGGAAUGCAGGCUAGAUAUUUUUUCUGAACUGAAUGACUAGAAGUGACAUAAUUACAUUUGUACCCUUUCUGAAAGUUGUUUCUCUUUAGAAACUUACACUUGCUCUUGGUAUGUAAGAGUCCUCAAUGAUUUUGCAAACAGAAUACAGAUAGACAAGGAGCCUUUUCAGAUGUUUUUAACCUGCAACAAUCUUACCGUUUGUGUUGUCAUUUAAGAUCCCUAACAAGUUACAUUAACUUUUUUGGCCCUCAAGUACCAUUCAAGCAUUGACAUUAGUCAUAUUCUGAGCUUUGUAUACAACAUACCCAUAUUCUUGAAAGAUUAUUUUAGCUCCAAAAACAGGUUUUUUAAAUUCUUUCUAUAAUGUUAUAUCUUUAACCUGUGCUGGGCCAGAGGAGAGAAAUUACUUGAUACCCUGUUCUUCCUGUUGGUAGGGAGAUAAAUAUCUCUUGUCUUCUUUCUGUCCCUGUUGUCCCUUGAAAGUGUCUGUAGAAGUAAGCAAAAAGCUUUGCUACAGAACUUCCUAUGCCCUGUGCACUCCUACACAUCUUUCAGAUUGGUAGGCCAACUUCAUUUGCUUCUGCUGGUUCUGUCUGUAGAAAGUGGUGCUGUUUUCUUCUCUAUCAUUGUUGACUGCACCUGGUUCCUUUGCACUGAAUAGCUGAUGGACGCCUUAGUGUAGCUUAGUCCAAGCAACCAGUGAACUCUGUGUUUACUCUGACAUGGAAACGAGUACUGAUGGAGCCUCAACAGAGAUAUUAAACUGUCAGCCAGGAUUAUAGAUAAAAUUAGAACUUUAUUCCUUUAUUUAAAUGUGUGUGUGCCAGCUUCUUUUCUCCAAAUUGCAAAGCUAAAAUCUGGACCCCUUCAGAUAGAAUAUUGGAAUGUGUGGGAUUUUAUUCACCAUAUGUAUUUGCUUACUCAUCUAUCUCAUACUUUCUCUCUGCAACUUGAUUCUUUGCCUUUUAAAAACUCUCAUUAUGUUCUGUGUGCUGAAAUGUGAAUGCUAAUCCAUUAUUUGUCUUCUGUUCAUACUAAU
Molecule: long non-coding RNA, 2365 nt
Organism: Mauremys reevesii (Reeves's turtle)
Lineage: Eukaryota; Metazoa; Chordata; Testudines; Geoemydidae
Exons: 5
Source: RefSeq, a predicted model, not a curated record